UGCGUCCGAUUAGCUAGUUGGCGGGGCAACGGCCCACCAAGGCGACGAUCGGUAGCCGGCCUGAGAGGGUGAUCGGCCACAUUGGGACUGAGAUACGGCCCAGACUCCUACGGGAGGCAGCAGUAGGGAAUAUUGCACAAUGGGGGAAACCCUGAUGCAGCAACGCCACGUGUGGGAAGAAGCAUUUCGGUGUGUAAACCACUGUCAUGAGGGAAUAAGGCCCGCCUUCGGACGGGAUUGAAUGUACCUUGAGAGGAAGCACCGGCAAACUUCGUGCCAGCAGCCGCGGUAAUACGAGGGGUGCAAGCGUUGUUCGGAAUUACUGGGCGUAAAGGGAGCGUAGGCGGAGAUUCAAGCGGAUUGUACAAUCCCGGGGCCCAACCCCGGCUCUGCAGUCCGAACUGGAUUUCUUGGAUAGUUCAGGGGCA
RNAcentral lists this ribosomal RNA (428 nucleotides) under uncultured Fibrobacter sp. RNAcentral's name for it is "bacterial SSU rRNA". It matches the Rfam family "Bacterial small subunit ribosomal RNA", at positions 232 to 659 of the family's 1533-position model. The record is from RNAcentral. Lineage: Bacteria; Pseudomonadati; Fibrobacterota; Fibrobacteria; Fibrobacterales; Fibrobacteraceae.